RNAcentral lists this ribosomal RNA (460 nucleotides) under uncultured bacterium. RNAcentral describes it as "SSU rRNA". It matches the Rfam family "Bacterial small subunit ribosomal RNA", at positions 26 to 518 of the family's 1533-position model. The record is from RNAcentral.
AGAAUCAACGCUGGCGGCGUGCCUAACACAUGCAAGUCGCACGAGAAAGGGUAGCAAUACCUGAGUACAGUGGCGCACGGGUGAGUAACACGUGACUAAUCUACCUUUGAGUGGGGAAUAACCUGGGGAAACCCGGGCUAAUACCGCAUAAUACCUACGGGUCAAAGCAGCAAUGCGCUUAAAGAGGAGGUCGCGGUCGAUUAGUUAGUUGGCGGGGUAAUGGCCCACCAAGACGAUGAUCGAUAUCCGGCCUGAGAGGGCGCACGGACACACUGGAACUGAAACACGGUCCAGACUCCUACGGGAGGCAGCAGUGGGGAAUUUUGCGCAAUGGGGGAAACCCUGACGCAGCAACGCCGCGUGGAGGAUGAAGUAUCUUGGUACGUAAACUCCUUUCGAUAGGGAAGAUAAUGACGGUACCUAUAGAAGAAGCCCCGGCUAACUUCGUGCCAGCAGCCGC